RNAcentral lists this ribosomal RNA (253 nucleotides) under uncultured bacterium. RNAcentral's name for it is "partial 16S ribosomal RNA". It matches the Rfam family "Bacterial small subunit ribosomal RNA", at positions 524 to 776 of the family's 1533-position model. The record is from RNAcentral.
UACAGGGGGGGCAAGCGUUGUUCGGAAUUACUGGGCGUAAAGGGCACGUAGGUGGCCAACUAAGUCAGACGUGAAAUCCCUCAGCUUAACUGGGGAACUGCGUCUGAUACUGGAUGGCUUGAGUUUGGGAGAGGGAUGCGGAAUUCCAGGCGUAGCGGUGAAAUGCGUAGAUAUCUGGAGGAACACCGGUGGCGAAGGCGGCAUCCUGGACCAACACUGACACUGAGGAGCGAAAGCCAGGGGAGCAAACGGG